UAUUUUUUCCUCUCUUUUUACUUCAGUUGCUCUUUUCUUUUUUCCUUCUUUCUUCUCUCACCUACACACCAUACAAGUAUUUAUUUUCUGCUUUCUUUCUGCUACAUCAACAUAAUAUCUUCUCUUUUUUCAUGUCACCAUAACUUACAUUUAUUCUCUCAUUCUUCUUCCUCUCCCACACAAUAAUAUAACAACAACGAACACUUUUUCUUCAUUCUUCAUCAGCAUCAUCAAUGCCAAUUACAACAAAAUUCACUCCACCAUUUCAAAAUAACUACAGCAACUUCAUCAUCAUCAUCACUUCCAACUAUAAAAACUUCAUCAUCAUCGUCACUUCCAACAAUAACAUAACUCUCUUCACACUUUCUCAUACUUUUUUCUUCAUAAAAACAUUAACAACUCUACACAUCAUAAACACUACAAUAACCUAUCUUCUUAAAGUCGUCUCUUUUAUGCACAAGAAAAAACACUCCAAACCACAACACAUCUUCAUCUUCCUCAAAUAAACUCAACUUUCCACCAUAAUCAA
This 529-nucleotide long non-coding RNA is filed under the name Lathyrus oleraceus (garden pea). RNAcentral's name for it is "Pisum sativum (pea) long non-coding RNA (PSAT_LNC024695)". Lineage: Eukaryota; Viridiplantae; Streptophyta; Magnoliopsida; Fabales; Fabaceae. The record is from RNAcentral.